UACCCGAAAAGCAAACACAUGCAUUAGUGUCAACAUGCAGUAGCACUGAGCACUACAAAGAAGUUGCUUAUUUGGAUACAAAGACCAAUCCUAAGCCAGCUUUUGAUUCAGUUGGAAAUUGCCCGCUCAAAUUAACGCUUUCACAAACAAUGCAUCAUUUGGGUCAUCAUUUCGCUGUGUGAUACGAUCAGGGAAGCAAGUCUGAAGUUAUUCUACUGAAAGCCUGUAUCUUUUGCCUGUUUUCAAGAAUCAGUCGAACCAUAUCGAAAAAUUCAAAAUAUGGGUCGUCUACAGAAUAAAGAAAUAUGGUAUAUGCCGAUCAUUGAAAAUGGGUCCGCUGAAAUCUUCUAUAACUCAUCGAUUAAAUUUAGGAAUGGCAAGAAGAAGCAUACCAAUCAUUUGUGACUAUAGACGAUAGAGGUCAGGAAGAAAGAGAAGAAGCAAUGACGAAAGCAGUAGGCCCAUCCUUGGUAACAACAUGACUUCUUCAGGGAAAGUUUAAUGAUCUCUUUGUGUCACCAGAACUGAGAAUCCCGUACACAUCCAGACGGACACGGAACACAAUCCUCACCAUCAC
Molecule: long non-coding RNA, 577 nt
Organism: Lytechinus variegatus (green sea urchin)
Lineage: Eukaryota; Metazoa; Echinodermata; Echinoidea; Temnopleuroida; Toxopneustidae
Exons: 4
Source: RefSeq, a predicted model, not a curated record